AACGAACGCUGGCGGCAGGCCUAACACAUGCAAGUCGAGCGAGGACUUCGGUUCUAGCGGCGGACGGGUGAGUAACGCGUGGGAAAGUGCCCUUCUCUACGGAAUAGCCCUGGGAAACUGGGAGUAAUACCGUAUACGCCCUAUUGGGGAAAGAUUUAUCGGAGAAGGAUCAGCCCGCGUUGGAUUAGGUAGUUGGUGGGGUAAUGGCCUACCAAGCCGACGAUCCAUAGCUGGUUUGAGAGGAUGAUCAGCCACACUGGGACUGAGACACGGCCCAGACUCCUACGGGAGGCAGCAGUGGGGAAUCUUAGACAAUGGGGGCAACCCUGAUCGAGCCAUGCCGCGUGAGUGAUGAAGGCCUUAGGGUUGUAAAGCUCUUUCAGCUGGGAAGAUAAUGACGGUACCAGCAGAAGAAGCCCCGGCUAACUCCGUG
Molecule: ribosomal RNA, 433 nt
Filed under: uncultured bacterium
Lineage: Bacteria
Description: partial 16S ribosomal RNA
Rfam family: Bacterial small subunit ribosomal RNA
Source: RNAcentral